RNAcentral lists this long non-coding RNA (448 nucleotides) under Nicotiana benthamiana. RNAcentral's name for it is "long non-coding RNA (NBEN_LNC013361)". Lineage: Eukaryota; Viridiplantae; Streptophyta; Magnoliopsida; Solanales; Solanaceae. The record is from RNAcentral.
UAGCAGAAACUUUGGACUCUUUUAGAGACAUGUAAAAAAUAUUUCUUCUCUCAGAAGGUUAAAUGAAAAUAUCUCCUUCUCCCUUUUUCCUCUCAUUACUCUUUCAAAAGUUAGCAUAAAUUUCUAUCAAUCCUUGAAAAUCAAUAUUUUCACAUGGUAUUAGAGCGGAUACUCCGUUCCUACUCCUCACCAGCUUCGUUGCGAUGUUAACCUCACUUAUUUUCGUCAGAGUUUUCUUGUUCACUAAGAAAUUUGGGGGUUUUAUGGUUUCAUUGAGUCUUCUUCUACAAUUUCUGAUUUGAGAGGUUUGUCAUACUGGAUAUUCAUUGGAUUGACGAGGAUAUCAGUCGAUCCCUCCGAUUUUUCAUUUUCCAGCUGUUAGGGUUUGGUUCCUUUCAAGUUCAUGGAUGUUGCCGUCUUUCGGUCGCAAAGACGAAGGGCAUUCUCU